UACGGAGGUGGCAAGCGUUGCUCGGAAUCACUGGGCGUAAAGGGCGCGUAGGCGGGGAGGUAAGUCGGGUGUGAAAUCCCUCGGCCCAACUGAGGAACUGCGCCCGAGACUGCUUCUCUUGAGUCCCGGAGAGGAAGAUGGAAUUCCCGGUGUAGCGGUGAAAUGUGUAGAGAUCGGGAGGAACACCGGUGGCGAAGGCGGUCUUCUGGACGGUGACUGACGCAGAGACGCGAAAGCUAGGGGAGCGAACAGG
RNAcentral lists this ribosomal RNA (253 nucleotides) under uncultured bacterium. RNAcentral describes it as "partial 16S ribosomal RNA". It matches the Rfam family "Bacterial small subunit ribosomal RNA", at positions 524 to 776 of the family's 1533-position model. The record is from RNAcentral.